AGUGUUUGAUCGCCGACUAAUGUCUGGGAAACUGCCUGAUGGUCCGGGUAACUACUGGAAACGGGGCUAAUACCGCAUAACGUCGCAAGACCAAAGAGGGGGACCUUCGGGCCUCUUGUAUCGGAUGUGCCCAGAUGGAAUUAGCUAGUAGGUGCGGAAACGGCUCACCUAGGCGACGAUCCCUAGCUGGUCUGAGAGGAUGACCAGCCACACUGCAACUGAUACACGGUCCAGAUUCCUACGGGAGGCAGCAGUGGGGAAUAUUGCACAAUGGGCGCAAGCCUGAUUAGGCAUGCCGGUCAAUGAAGAAGGCCUUAACCUUUACGGUAUUUUCAGCGCUGAGGAAGGCGAUAAGGUUAAUAACCUUGUCGAUUGACGUUACCUGCAUAAGAAGCACCGGCUAACUCCGUGCCAGCAGCCGCAGUAAUACGGAGGGUGCAAGCGUUAAUCGUAACUCCUGGGCAGAAAGCGCACGCAUGCGCUCUGACAAGCCGGAUGUGAAAUCCCUGGGGCUCAACCUUGGAACUGCAUUCGGCUCUGCCAGUCUAGAGUCUUGGAGAGGGGGGAGAGAAUUCCGGCCCUCUCGGUGAAAUGCGUAGAGAUCUGGGAGGAUACCGGUGGCGAA
RNAcentral lists this ribosomal RNA (625 nucleotides) under Enterobacter cloacae. RNAcentral describes it as "bacterial SSU rRNA". It matches the Rfam family "Bacterial small subunit ribosomal RNA", at positions 94 to 719 of the family's 1533-position model. The record is from RNAcentral. Lineage: Bacteria; Pseudomonadati; Pseudomonadota; Gammaproteobacteria; Enterobacterales; Enterobacteriaceae.